AGUGAACGCUGGCGGCGUGCUUAACACAUGCAAGUCGAACGAGAACGGAUUAUAGCUUGCUAUAAUUGUCAGCUAAGUGGCGCACGGGUGAGUAAUGUAUAGGUAAUAUGCCUCUUACUAAGGGAUAACAAAUGGAAACGUUUACUAAUACCUUAUACUCCUUAUUAACCUAAGUUAAUAAGGGAAAGAUUUAUUGGUAAGAGAUUAGCCUGUAUUGUAUCAGUUAGUUGGUGGGGUAAUGGCUUACCAAGACUAUGACACAUAACUGGUUUGAGAGGAUGAUCAGUCACACUGGAACUGAGACACGGUCCAGACUCCUACGGGAGGCAGCAGUGGGGAAUAUUGCACAAUGGACGAAAGUCUGAUGCAGCAACGCCGCGUGGAGGAUGACACAUUUCGGUGCGUAAACUCCUUUAUAUGAGAAGAUAAUGACGGUAUUAUAUGAAUAAGCACCGGCUAACUCCGUGCCAGCCGCCGCCGUAA
RNAcentral lists this ribosomal RNA (483 nucleotides) under uncultured bacterium. RNAcentral's name for it is "partial 16S ribosomal RNA". It matches the Rfam family "Bacterial small subunit ribosomal RNA", at positions 29 to 523 of the family's 1533-position model. The record is from RNAcentral.